This 429-nucleotide ribosomal RNA is filed under the name Gemmatimonadota bacterium. Its description in RNAcentral is "Gemmatimonadetes bacterium partial 16S ribosomal RNA". It matches the Rfam family "Bacterial small subunit ribosomal RNA", at positions 355 to 776 of the family's 1533-position model. Lineage: Bacteria; Pseudomonadati; Gemmatimonadota. The record is from RNAcentral.
UAGGGAAUCUUCGGCAAUGGACGAAAGUCUGACCGAGCAACGCCGCGUGAGUGAAGAAGGUUUUCGGAUCGUAAAACUCUGUUGUUAGAGAAGAACAAGGACGUUAGUAACUGAACGUCCCCUGACGGUAUCUAACCAGAAAGCCACGGCUAACUACGUGCCAGCAGCCGCGGUAAUACGUAGGUGGCAAGCGUUGUCCGGAUGUAUUGGGCGUAAAGCGAGCGCAGGCGGUUUCUUAAGUCUGAUGUGAAAGCCCCCGGCUCAACCGGGGAGGGUCAUUGGAAACUGGGAGACUUGAGUGCAGAAGAGGAGAGUGGAAUUCCAUGUGUAGCGGUGAAAUGCGUAGAUAUAUGGAGGAACACCAGUGGCGAAGGCGGCUCUAUGGUCUGUAACUGACGCUGAGGCUCGAAAGCGUGGGGAGCAAACAGG